This 469-nucleotide ribosomal RNA is filed under the name uncultured bacterium. Its description in RNAcentral is "partial 16S ribosomal RNA". It matches the Rfam family "Bacterial small subunit ribosomal RNA", at positions 28 to 507 of the family's 1533-position model. The record is from RNAcentral.
GACGAACGCUGGCGGCGUGCUUAACACAUGCAAGUCGAACGGAAAGGCCCUGCUUGCAGGGUGCUCGAGUGGCGAACGGGUGAGUAACACGUGGGUGAUCUGCCCCUUACUUUGGGAUAAGCCUUGGAAACUGGGUCUAAUACUGGAUAGGACCAUGCUGUAGGUGGUGUGGUGGAAAGAUUAGUUUCGGUAAGGGAUGAGCUCGCGGCCUAUCAGCUUGUUGGUGGGGUAAUGGCCUACCAAGGCGUCGACGGGUAGCCGGCCUGAGAGGGUGGACGGCCACAUUGGGACUGAGAUACGGCCCAGACUCCUACGGGGGGCAGCAGUGGGGAAUAUUGCACAAUGGGCGCAAGCCUGAUGCAGCGACGCCGCGGGGGGGAUGACGGCCUUCGGGUUGUAAACUCCUUUCAGCCAUGACGAAGCCCUUGUGGUGACGGUAGUGGUAGAAGAAGCACCGGCUAACUACGUG